RNAcentral lists this ribosomal RNA (245 nucleotides) under uncultured bacterium. RNAcentral describes it as "partial 16S ribosomal RNA". It matches the Rfam family "Bacterial small subunit ribosomal RNA", at positions 524 to 768 of the family's 1533-position model. The record is from RNAcentral.
AACGUAGGUGGCAAGCGUUAUCCGGAUUUACUGGGCGUAAAGCGUGUGCAGGCGGUGCCUCAAGUGGUGUAUGAAAUCGCCCGGCUUAACCGGGCGAGGUUAGGCCAGACUGAGGGACUGGAGGACGGGAGAGGGGCGUGGAAUUCCGGGUGUAGUGGUGAAAUGCGUAGAGAUCCGGAGGAACCCCAGCGGCGAAGGCGGCGCCCUGGCCCGUUUCUGACGCUCAGACACGACAGCAUGGGGAG